UCAGACAUGGUGUAGUGGGAACAUGGCCUUUUGUAAUUUGCCCGAUAGCGUUCAGCUAUAGAGGUAGUUCAGGGUUCGAUCCCCUGUGUCUGAA
Molecule: non-coding RNA, 94 nt
Organism: Mycena vulgaris
Lineage: Eukaryota; Fungi; Basidiomycota; Agaricomycetes; Agaricales; Mycenaceae
Source: the annotation of a GenBank genome assembly